CCGGCAUGAGCGCAGCUGAUGCAGCACGCCGCGUGAGGGAUGACGGCCUUCGGGUUGUAAACCUCUUUUAGCAGGGAAGAAGCGAGAGUGACGGUACCUGCAGAAAAAGCGCCGGCUAACUACGUGCCAGCAGCCGCGAUAAUAA
RNAcentral lists this ribosomal RNA (145 nucleotides) under uncultured Microbacterium sp. RNAcentral's name for it is "partial 16S ribosomal RNA". It matches the Rfam family "Bacterial small subunit ribosomal RNA", at positions 366 to 526 of the family's 1533-position model. The record is from RNAcentral. Lineage: Bacteria; Bacillati; Actinomycetota; Actinomycetes; Micrococcales; Microbacteriaceae.